AUGGGUGACCUCCUGGGAAGGCCUCGUGUUGCAACCC
RNAcentral lists this ribosomal RNA (37 nucleotides) under Cliffortia densa. Lineage: Eukaryota; Viridiplantae; Streptophyta; Magnoliopsida; Rosales; Rosaceae. The record is from RNAcentral.